CGCCUAUACACAAAAGCAAAAAUGUCCGUUUAUACAAAUAUACGGCGUUUCGGUUUUGUUGGCGGGGGGUGCGUGUGUGGAUAACGGCUCACAUAACGUGUCGCGAUGGAUGACUGGCUUCCUAUUUCGUUGAAGAACGCAGUAAAGUGCGAUAAGUGGUAUCA
Molecule: ribosomal RNA, 164 nt
Filed under: Leishmania tropica
Lineage: Eukaryota; Euglenozoa; Kinetoplastea; Trypanosomatida; Trypanosomatidae
Description: partial 5.8S ribosomal RNA
Rfam family: 5.8S ribosomal RNA (bases 95-164)
Source: RNAcentral